GCGGAGGUGCCGGAGUGGCCGGGACGGGCUUAGGACCCGUUAGCUUAGUGCUUACGCAGGUUCGAAUCCUGUCCUCCGCA
RNAcentral lists this transfer RNA (80 nucleotides) under Candidatus Woesearchaeota archaeon. RNAcentral describes it as "tRNA-Leu". It matches the Rfam family "tRNA". Rfam says of the family: Transfer RNA (tRNA) molecules are approximately 80 nucleotides in length. Their secondary structure includes four short double-helical elements and three loops (D, anti-codon, and T loops). The record is from RNAcentral. Lineage: Archaea; Nanobdellati; Candidatus Woesearchaeota.